RNAcentral lists this ribosomal RNA (495 nucleotides) under uncultured bacterium. RNAcentral describes it as "partial 16S ribosomal RNA". It matches the Rfam family "Bacterial small subunit ribosomal RNA", at positions 28 to 505 of the family's 1533-position model. The record is from RNAcentral.
GAUGAACGCUGGCGGCGUGCCUAAUACAUGCAAGUCGAGCGAACAGACGAGGAGCUUGCUCCUCUGACGUUAGCGGCGGACGGGUGAGUAACACGUGGAUAACCUACCUAUAAGACUGGGAUAACUUCGGGAAACCGGAGCUAAUACCGGAUAAUAUAUUGAACCGCAUGGUUCAAUAGUGAAAGACGGUUUUGCUGUCACUUAUAGAUGGAUCCGCGCCGCAUUAGCUAGUUGGUAAGGUAACGGCUUACCAAGGCAACGAUGCGUAGCCGACCUGAGAGGGUGAUCGGCCACACUGGAACUGAGACACGGUCCAGACUCCUACGGGAGGCAGCAGUAGGGAAUCUUCCGCGAUGGGCGAAAGCCUGACGGAGCAACGCCGCGUGAGUGAUGAAGGUCUUCGGAUCGUAAAACUCUGUUAUUAGGGAAGAACAAAUGUGUAAGUAACUAUGCACGUCUUGACGGUACCUAAUCAGAAAGCCACGGCUAACUACG